Molecule: long non-coding RNA, 711 nt
Organism: Salvelinus fontinalis (brook trout)
Lineage: Eukaryota; Metazoa; Chordata; Actinopteri; Salmoniformes; Salmonidae
Exons: 3
Source: RefSeq, a predicted model, not a curated record
AAUAUUAAUAAUACGCAAUGAAAGCACUUGUGCUGAUUAUAGACACUUAAUAGCGCGUUUUUAAGUUUCACAAGAUUGCGACCCCCCCGCCUUUUGCCUCACAAUGGUUUGAUCCACUGCCAGUUCUUUAGCUUGCAAGGUAAUAGAGGGUUCGUAUCUACUGUCCGAAAGGCACUCAAUGUACGUAACUGACGUGAGGCAGAGCAGGCAACAGAUGGCACACAGACAGCAGAGCUGGGGACAGAUAUGCAGGGACAGACUAGCAGAGACAGGGAGUCUCAGGAGACAGACUGUGAGUCAGUGAGGGUGGUGAAAGGGAAAGAGCCAAGGAGAGAGACUUCAGAGGACAGUGUCACAGCCACGGCAGGACCAGGUGUCACCCUUGUUGCCAGCAGCACCAGUAUAGGGGACAGUGGCACAGCAUCGUCCAGUUACCUCAGUGAUGGCACAAAACCAUAUCAGCCACACCCACAAUUUAUAGAACCGCAAACUCUUGCCAACAGAGUGUUGACGGUUCAAGAGAGAUGGUUUUGCGAUUUCCCCUGGCUACAUUAUAAUCCAUCAAUAAAAGGAGUGUUGUGUUUUCACUGUAGCCAAGGGUUUUCAAGCCAGCCAUCUUUUGGCCAAAGAGCAGAUGCUGCCUUCAUUAGUGCAGGAUUUAGGAACUGGAGAAAAGCCAUUGAAAAAUUCACAGCACAUCAAAACUGCCAA